GACGUAGGGCGCAAGCGUUGUCCGGAUUUAUUGGGCGUAAAGAGCUCGUAGGCGGCCUGUCGCGUCGUCCGUGAAAACCUGGGGCUUAACUCUGGGCGUGCGGUCGAUACGGGCAGGCUGGAGGCAGGUAGGGGAGAUCGGAAUUCCUGGUGUAGCGGUGAAAUGCGCAGAUAUCAGGAGGAACACCGGUGGCGAAGGCGGAUCUCUGGGCCUGUUCUGACGCUGAGGAGCGAAAGCGUGGGGAGCGAACAGGAUUAGAUACCCUGGUAGUCCACGCUGUAAACGUUGGGCGCUAGGUGUGGGGGACUUCAUUGUCUUCCGUGCCGCAGCUAACGCAUUAAGCGCCCCGCCUGGGGAGUACGGCCGCAAGGCUAAA
This 376-nucleotide ribosomal RNA is filed under the name uncultured bacterium. Its description in RNAcentral is "bacterial SSU rRNA". It matches the Rfam family "Bacterial small subunit ribosomal RNA", at positions 524 to 898 of the family's 1533-position model. The record is from RNAcentral.